AUAUAAAUGAAAAGUUAGCACAAUUUCUGGUUUUAUAUGGCUGAUUUUAUGUUUGAUGUGUUCACAGUGGCUAACAAAUUAAUAUAUCUAUUAGAUUUCAUUCUAUAUUGUUAUCCCAUGUAAAUUGUAUUUAUAUUUACUAAGUUCGGUCUGCUCCCGUAGAUGGAUUUGUUUGACCAGAUAGUGAACAUUAAGGUUAUCAUGGAAACUAAUUGAGAUGAUUCUCUUGAUCAUGCAUUUCUACAACUUGGAAGGUUGGACAAGAAAAUUGAGUUUCCUUUUUCUGAUAGACGAUUAAAGCGACUUGUUUUUCAGGUCUGUAUUGCGAUGAUGAACUUGAGGGUUGAGCUUGACUUGGAGGAUUAUGUUUCACGGCCAGAAUAAAUUAGUGUUUCCAAGACAUCAAUUCUUCUAUGUUUUGUUAAGUGGAUCUUUCACCAACCUUGUUAUUAGGAGCAGUGCUGGUGUUUGCAUUCACAUCAUUCUUUAUAUAUGAGCAAUAUGAAGAUGAACUUGAUCGACUUUUUAGCGUGGUUGCUAUUGUUGUAAAGAGUUUAUGGACAUUGUUGCUAAGAAUUCGUCCACCAUCCAUUACCUCAUUCUUUUCUGCUAUUGAUGAUUUGGGGUGAAGUACAAACGCGACUUGCUGUAAAGGAAUGUGGAUUCCUUUGAACCCAUGUGUUCGCUUACUAUUUCAUCUGCCGAUAUUUGAUCAUCAGAAGAGGCAAAGCUACGAUAAUCAUGAUAGCCAACCAGGUUUUCUCCAAACUUGACUCUGAGCAGUUGAUAGCGCGUGUUUGAAGGAUCUCAUUUGGCAGCCAUUACAAAUACUUUCACUCCAUUUUCAGUGUGGUUAUACAUAAAUAAGUCUAAUUUGGGUGAUGUAUCCUUGUUGAUCGACAAAAUUGUGUGUAUAUUAAUUAGAUGGUGUAUAUCAGUGGUUUGUACCAUCUGUUAGGAGCAAAGUCUUACUUUUUUAUUUUUUCAAAUGAUUGUAAUAUUAUCGACUUUUAGAUUUACAAUUAUAUACUAUUUAAUAUAAUUAUAUAUAUAAUUGGAUA
Spinacia oleracea (spinach) is the source of this 1061-nucleotide long non-coding RNA. RefSeq lists it as uncharacterized. Lineage: Eukaryota; Viridiplantae; Streptophyta; Magnoliopsida; Caryophyllales; Amaranthaceae. The record is from RefSeq and is a predicted model, not a curated record. The transcript has 4 exons.